This is a long non-coding RNA of Magnolia sinica, 731 nucleotides long. RefSeq lists it as uncharacterized. The record is from RefSeq and is a predicted model, not a curated record. Lineage: Eukaryota; Viridiplantae; Streptophyta; Magnoliopsida; Magnoliales; Magnoliaceae. The transcript is spliced from 3 exons.
ACACCCAUCUGUUAGAAAAGAAUAUCCCCAUCACCAUGCUUAAUAAAAAGAAAGGAGGAUAAACCUGUUACACUUGUAUUGAGCAUUUUCUUUUUGUUACUACUGGUGAAAUGAGGAUUCAAUGUUAUUCAAUGUCAUGCUCUGAGUUUUGUUUAUCUGUUUAUGUAUGGAGAACAGGUGGUGCUGGUAUCUGGUGAGACUGGUUGCAGGAAAACAACUCAGGAAUUAUGUCGUAUGUAGGGCCUUCUAGUUCUGCCCCAGGAAGCACCACAAAGAUAAAAGUUUCAAUUAGUCUAGUUGGAGAGAUUAUUGGAGAUAACAAAAAUCAAUUCACCUCAUUUUUAGGAAAUGUGGUCAGGACUCAUUGUCCAAUUGCAUACAAAGACUGGCGGCUUGUGCCAGAUACCAUCAAGGAUAAUGUUUGGUCAACUAUUUUGGCCAAAUAUGAUGUUGACGACAGUGACAGCUGUAAAACUGCCAUAAUUAAGCGUGCUAAUGAUAUGUGGAAGGACUAGAAGAACCGAUUAUGAGGAACUGUCCUGGAUAUGUAUGAUAAUGAUGGAGACAGGAAAAAAAAUUACCCUAAUGGCGUAAAGCUAGAAGAUUGGGUCAAAUUCGUUGAUUACGAAUCUACAGAAGAGGCAAAGUCUCGUCGUGGAAAGGGAAAGGAAUCCAGAAGCGAAAUGAAGUUCCCUCACAUGACUGGGCGAUGGGGAUCUGCUAGGACGGCA